GUGCUCACUUCGGCAGCACAUAUACUAAAAUUAGAACAAAACAGAGAUUAGCAUGGCCCCCUUGCACGGAUGACACUCAAAUUAGUGAAUUGUUCCAAGUUUUU
Molecule: small nuclear RNA, 104 nt
Organism: Zalophus californianus (California sea lion)
Lineage: Eukaryota; Metazoa; Chordata; Mammalia; Carnivora; Otariidae
Source: Ensembl